Caretta caretta (loggerhead turtle) is the source of this 725-nucleotide long non-coding RNA. RefSeq lists it as uncharacterized. The record is from RefSeq and is a predicted model, not a curated record. Lineage: Eukaryota; Metazoa; Chordata; Testudines; Cheloniidae.
CCACACAUCUGCUGAAGAAAUAUUUUAAUCACUUGUUUUCCUGACAAUUAAUGAAAACGACAGGAUUUUGUUUUUUUCCUUUGUAAAAACAAAACCUAGUACCACAGAAAAACCUCCCUGCUAACCGAGCAAGGAGAAUUUUGAGUCCAGUAAUAUGCAUUGCUCAUACUGGAGUCUGCAUCUCUAAGACCCUCUGCUGCUCCUGGAGGCAGCUUUUAACUGCAAGCUUCAGUGUGGCGUGGCUCAGAGACAGCCGACAUCAUCGCUGAGCGCCCUGCUUUCUGCAGCAUCCAAGCAGCCUAUUCACACCACCAUUGAGCGGUGGCAGGGCUUGCAGGAAGCCAAGGCUAGCUAUGAAGUUUGGAAAAGGUUUCAAACACUGAAGGCAACUGUAAAGCACUGGGUUCCCAGAUGGUGGUUCUUAUCUAUGGCAAAUUUUUUUUGUCCUACUGAAAAGGGCUGUUUAGAGAAUAAAGCACCAUGUAAUUUCCAGCAGUGACAAUUUAUGACUUUAAAAAAAAAAAGGAUUCCCUCAUUUUCAUAUUUACAUAUUUAAUUUUUGCACUUGCAUGUACAUUUCUGUUAUCUCCCAUCCACAUGUUGCUAUUUGUCUCUGUAGUGAAGGAAGUUUUAUUUCCUGUGUGCAACAUGAAGCCUGACUUGCAUGUAAAAAGAUCCAAUGAAAAAUCAUCCCUUACUGAAAUAAAGUGAGCUGGCAUGCCGUA